This is a long non-coding RNA of Zingiber officinale, 913 nucleotides long. RefSeq lists it as uncharacterized. NCBI's taxonomy places the organism in Eukaryota, Viridiplantae, Streptophyta, Magnoliopsida, Zingiberales, Zingiberaceae. The transcript has 3 exons. The record is from RefSeq and is a predicted model, not a curated record.
UGAGGCUCGAUGAUGAGGUAUAGUCAUGCCUAUGUUAAGCUUUUUUUUCGCUCCAUUCUUUGUCUUUCUUUAGCCAUAAGAGUAUGCUCAUGUCAUGGGACACAACUAGAGCAUGCUCCUUGUUCUAUUGGUGGGCCUUCAACUUGGUGCCCACCAAUCCUUGUGCUGCCAUCGGCUUCCUCUUAUGCCACCCAAAAGUAAUUUUGAAGAUAUUUCGGCAUAGAUGCUAAGAGAGGCAAGUCUUAUGAGGCUUACUAGGUGAUUUCUUUUCAUCUCAUAUCGUCGAAAAGGGAAUCAAUGAUGAGCCAUGGAGUCAAUUAAACCAGACCAAUACCUAGCCCAAGAAGUUCAUUAAAGAAGAAGCGAGGUUCAAUUGGGAGUUGGUUUAAUUCAAUUGAAGAUGAUUCAUAUUCAAAUUCAUUCCGACCAUCAUCAAAUGAGUUUACCUCUUGAGCUUAAACCAAGUCAAAUCCUCCUCAACAAAUUCCUAAAACCUCACUUGAACCAAACCCAAAUUCAGAUUCAAGCUCAGUUCAAAACUGAGUAUAAAAACCGAAUUUCUACCAGAUGAAUAGUGGUUUGUGCUACUGUUCAUCGUCCACAUUUCUCAUCAUGCAAUUGCAGCUCCCUUCUCCUUCUCCAGAUCUACAUCUCGGUCAACUUUAUCGGCAUUGAGGAUUCCAACUACUUGUGUCCAAUUCCUGAUCAUCUAAGCUCGCCGGUGAGGGUUUCUCCGGUGCUAUUUUUAUUUCUGAAAUUCUUUGUUUCUUCCAUUGCCGGGUAUAGUGAUGUGAGCCAAGAAGAGGCAUUGAAGGGAAUUGGGGGACCCAUGACAAGGUCCAAGACUAAGAGAAUGAAGCAAGCUUUGGAAGGCUUAAUAAUGAGGCUCAAGGAAAAGGAGGAUCAAUGCACA